This 1421-nucleotide long non-coding RNA is filed under the name Cicer arietinum (chickpea). RNAcentral's name for it is "long non-coding RNA (CARI_LNC000795)". Lineage: Eukaryota; Viridiplantae; Streptophyta; Magnoliopsida; Fabales; Fabaceae. The record is from RNAcentral.
AUAGCAGUAGCUAGGGCUAUCAAAAACACACUAAAAUAAAAUGAAAGAAAUGGUAAAACAACAAAGUGUUCUGUUUUUUAAGCUAUUUUAAUAGGCUUGUGAUUCUCCAUGUUUGUAAAGGUGAAGCUCCUAUCAUGUACAUUUUAUUUAAUUCAGAACAUGUUUUUUUUUUUUUUUUUACUUAGAGAUAUACUAAAUAAAUCUUGAUAAUGCUGUCUGUAGGAUUCCCAGUUGUGUUACAUAUCUGAGAGUUACUUAAUUUUGCAGCUCAAUAGCAUACCUCAUAUUCCAUCUAGGUAGAGCUAUGUUAUUUGUGCAAGUUAUUAACAAAAUAUAACAUAUAUGUAGGAUUCUAUAUUGAUUUAUGGGUCAGACAUUAUAAGAUCUUCGCAUUUUGACCUCUGUUAUUGCUAUUAUUACCGAAGACAUAUCAUAUGCGAUUAUAUUUGUACAAGUUAUGCAUGUGGUCCAAAUCAUUGUCUUUGAAUGGCAUAAUAAUGUUAGGUCCAUUUCACUCACAGCUUUGAAAAGUCACACAGGACUCCAGAACAUUCACAAUUACUAUUACAAAGACCUAUAAUUGCCGGAAUCAAUUUUCCCCUUGAAUGGAUUGUUUCCUAACUUGAUCCAUGACCAUUUCUCACACAUUAUUUUCCUAUUUACUAAGUUGGUUGUCUCUUCAUGUGACUGCUUGAUAAGUUUGGUAGUAUAUUGACAAUAAAGUAGGCAAGGAAGCAAGUCCUAUCUGAGACAUCAAACACCCGCCAGAUAACAAUGUGAAUGUGUGAGGGUCCAUUGAAUUUGACAUUUAUAGGAAGAAGUUAUGUCUGAACUCUUGAUAGACCAUAAAGAAAUGUCUUUAUGGGUUUAGCCUAUCAAUUAUCAUAUGUAGAUUGAUUUGGGAAGCAAGAGUAUAGUGGGUCACCAUUAACCUUCCAGCUAACAUGCAAUGUUUUAUUGCCUGCCUUUAGACCAUUUACGCAUGGCUCUUGAUCUGGUGGUGGUCCAAAUUUUACCUUAUAACAAUAUUUUGAUUUCAUGCUUUCUUUCUAUAUGAUAAUAUAUAAUAUUCUAUUUACUGGACUAAUCUUUAUCUUGUUAUCAACAUCUAUUUUUAUUUUACAAAAUUUUAUCUUGGUUGAUGCAGCAUAAUGCUAAUUUAAGUUACUGUUUGUUUAGUGAAAGGUGUGCUUAUGAUGUGUUUUUUAUUACUGAUUUCUUGUUAUAUUUUUGUUUUAUUGUUUCAUCUUGGUAAUUCUAUUAGAUGGGGAUAAUAGUACGCAACCUCACGAAAUUCGAACAAGAAGUAUUGUGAGGUUAAUUGAUGUAAAUUUUUAAUAUCCUUAUUUUAUUUUGAGGUUUAUGUUAACUAGAUGCUAGAAAUUCACAUAUUUUUAUGUAUGUAGAUGCAUUUAAUUAAA